Molecule: non-coding RNA, 125 nt
Organism: Brachypodium distachyon (stiff brome)
Lineage: Eukaryota; Viridiplantae; Streptophyta; Magnoliopsida; Poales; Poaceae
Source: Rfam
ACAGUACUCCCUCCGAUCCUAAAUUCUUGUCUCAAAUUUGUCCAAAUAUGAAUGUAUCUAUUCUUAAAAAGCGUCUAGAUACAUGUAAUAUUUCGACAACAAUUUAGGACCGGAGGGAGUAGCAC